UUAAGUGUCAUUCGACUAUCCGUUCAGACGGCUAAAAAAGCUUCUUUAACAAAAUAGUUUCGCUGAGAGCUGUCGGCAGACUGACCCUUCACACCAGCGGUGAGGCGGAGGAAGGAGCUGCCGAAGCAACCGGGGCGUUUCACAAGGGGUUUCACACUAGUCGCGCCGUCCCCGUGAGGGAGCAGCGGCGACACGUGCGGGAGGGGGCGAACCCCCCCCCUUUAUUACUUUUUUAAUGAUCCUUCCGCAGGUUCACCUACGGAAA
RNAcentral lists this unclassified non-coding RNA (265 nucleotides) under uncultured fungus. RNAcentral describes it as "sequence contains ITS1". The record is from RNAcentral. Lineage: Eukaryota; Fungi.